Leopardus geoffroyi (Geoffroy's cat) is the source of this 1578-nucleotide long non-coding RNA. RefSeq lists it as uncharacterized. The transcript is spliced from 3 exons. The record is from RefSeq and is a predicted model, not a curated record. NCBI's taxonomy places the organism in Eukaryota, Metazoa, Chordata, Mammalia, Carnivora, Felidae.
AGUGCAGCAGGGUCUGUGCAAAGGGCUGGGGGUAGGGCGGGGGUAGAGGCAGUGGGAAAGAAAGUGAGGGAACAGGGUGUUGGAAGAAAAGAAGCCAGGAAGGGUCCCAGAGGAAGAUGUUCCAGAAGCACCAUUUCAAAUGGAACAGUCAAGCCUGAGACAUCUGGGCAUGAGAGGUGCCAGGUGGGCCUGGACUGGGCAGCAGUCGGGCACCAGGAAAUUCCCUGGGAGUCAAAGCAGUCGGGAGAGGCAGAGUCAAAAGAGGCUGAUUUGCAAACAGCACAGGGCUCUGCAAACAGAAACUGCAGCUGCAGGACCCAAGGACAGAAUUUAGAUUUAUGGAGUGUGGAUAGGACUUUUGGUCAGCAUCAGUCACCUCCACCCUGUGAAUCACAGCCAAAUCUGGAUGAGUUGUAUUAUUGACCAUGAUAAUAGGAGGAUGAAUGGUGGCUGUGAUCGCCUGUACUGCCAUCAACCUAUAAGAUGGCUAGAAAUUUUGAUCUGGCCAGCCCUUGGCCCAGAUAACGAUGUGCCAGAGACACCGUGACCGCCGUGAGCAAGACAAAGGCCACUAUGCACAAUCCUGCGAUGGAGGGGCCCGCUCUGUCAUGGGUCAGAGCCCAGCUUCACAGAGAAGAUGUGCUAAGGAAGCUUUCUCCCCCACAGAUCCGGCUCCUGGCCUCAACCUGUGAGUUCCCCGAGAGUACAAGCCACAUCUUCAUUCUGGGCCACCUCUCUGAGCUCUCUCCUCCACCCUCCCAGUGACCUCCUGCUCAGAGCUCGCUCCUGAGCCUCAGGCUCCCACGUGCAGCUGCGUGCCAGACAAUUCCACCCUGGGGACCUCCCAGGCUCUUCAAAAGCAACACGUGUAGAACUGGCCAGAGCUUCGUUCAGAACCCUCACCCCAUCCUGACGUCCCAUCUCGAUGAAGGAUGCUGCCAUCCACCCGCUGCCUCACUUCAUUGCCACAUCCAACCUGUGACGUGUCCCUUAAUUCCACCUCCUCCUAUUCUUGGUUCCACAUGCUUCUCCUCCAGUGGGACACUGCUAUUGCCCAAGCACCCAUGGCCACAGGGAUAACAGCAGAUAAUUUUGAUGGAGCUUUCGGGGUGCCGAGUGUUGUGGUAGUAUGUACGUAUAUAAAUAAGUGAAUUAAGUAAGUUGCUCUUCAUAUGCGAACUCCUUCAAUGUCCGCGCCUACUUGGUAGCUUAGUGCUCAUUACCAGUCUCUCAUUUGAUGGUUAAGGACAUUGAAACUCGGAGAGAAUAAAUAACUUGCUGGAGCUGGAACGCGAGCCCCUCUUUCUCUAAUGCUAAUGCUCCAGCCCUUGACCGUUCCAUGAAAACUGAAAUGUGGGCUGGUGUUCUGUCCCUACCACCAGCCUUGCCCUUUUAAGUCCUUUCUCCCUUCUUAUAGCCCGGGGCAUUUUUAAAAAUAGAAGUCUUAUCAUGUAUCCUCCACUGACAACUCUUCAUUGUUUUUCCUUUGCCCUGGAUACGGUACAAACUUGUUUCGAGCUCACUGGGCCCUUCACAAUCUGGACCACAUUAACCUCUCCGACUCUCUUCUUGCCUCUG